This 497-nucleotide ribosomal RNA is filed under the name uncultured bacterium. RNAcentral's name for it is "partial 16S ribosomal RNA". It matches the Rfam family "Bacterial small subunit ribosomal RNA", at positions 28 to 507 of the family's 1533-position model. The record is from RNAcentral.
GAUGAACGCUGGCGGCGUGCCUAAUACAUGCAAGUCGAGCGAACGGACGAGGAGCUUGCUUCUCUGACGUUAGCGGCGGACGGGUGAGUAACACGUGGAUAACCUACCUAUAAGACUGGGAUAACUUCGGGAAACCGGAGCUAAUACCGGAUAAUAUAUUGAACCGCAUGGUUCAAUAGUGAAAGACGGUUUUGCUGUCACUUAUAGAUGGAUCCGCGCUGCAUUAGCUAGUUGGUAAGGUAACGGCUUACCAAGGCAACGAUGCGUAGCCGACCUGAGAGGGUGAUCGGCCACACUGGAACUGAGACACGGUCCAGACUCCUACGGGAGGCAGCAGUAGGGAAUCUUCCGCAAUGGGCGAAAGCCUGACGGAGCAACGCCGCGUGAGUGAUGAAGGUCUUCGGAUCGUAAAACUCUGUUAUUAGGGAAGAACAAAUGUGUAAGUAACUAUGCACGUCUUGACGGUACCUAAUCAGAAAGCCACGGCUAACUACGUG